Small nuclear RNA from Ochotona princeps (American pika), 104 nucleotides. The record is from RefSeq and is a predicted model, not a curated record. Lineage: Eukaryota; Metazoa; Chordata; Mammalia; Lagomorpha; Ochotonidae.
GUGCUUGCCUCAGGGGCACAUAUAUCUAAAUUGGACCCAUACCAAGAAGAUUAGAAUGGCCCCUGCGCAAAGAUGUUUGUUGUCGUGUCAUCAUCAUAGUAGUA